Molecule: long non-coding RNA, 798 nt
Organism: Hyaena hyaena (striped hyena)
Lineage: Eukaryota; Metazoa; Chordata; Mammalia; Carnivora; Hyaenidae
Exons: 2
Source: RefSeq, a predicted model, not a curated record
UUUCAAUUAUGUCCUGGUAUAGUCUUAUUAAUCCUAAUUUCAACUAUUAUCUUAAAAUAUAUUUCACAAGAAUAACCAAAUUUUACAUGUCAGUUGCAUCAUUUUGGGGUUGUAUAUAAAACUCUCACCAGAUCCUUUUAAAGUAUUUUUUAAGUCUUUUGACAUUUACAGACAGUUGUUUUACUCUGAUGGUUUUGCAGAAGUGUUCCUGCAAAAAUGCUUCAUUUUGAAAUAAAUUCAUGUAAAAGACCUUGACAAGUACUCCAAAAUCCAGGCUUCUGACAACUUCGUAACACUGAACUAGUUUGCUCCAGUAUUUGGAUAGAACUCUCAACACCUCCAGUUUCUUCCUACUCUUUUGACUAAGAAUCAGUGUGAAACUAAAACUGCCCUUUUCCCAAAGUCAUGCAAGCUAAAGCUGGACAACUAGAUACAAACUUCAGAGAAAUCACAACAGCUCAUAUGUGGACAUUUGACACUGCAAACAAGGAAAAUCUGUCAGAUUGCCACUGUUGGCCCUCACUCCCAGAUGCUCUGAACCUAACACUAGGAAUCUUCUCAAAUGACUGUUCUCCAAACUCAAAAACUAAGUUUGUAAUUUGCUGAAACUAUUAAUGUUUGUUUUUCUUUAGCUUCCAGAGAACUGCAUCUCAUUAAAUUACCUGUUUGCUCACAUUAUUCAGAGGCCUAAUUUGAGUAAAUGCUCACCUAAAACAUGACAGGAUUAAGUAAGUAAUCAUGAGGAUGUGAAUGCUAACACGUCAUGUUGUACCUAUGAAAUAAAUGGGGUUCAUUUUA